RNAcentral lists this transfer RNA (95 nucleotides) under Hypoxylon sp. FL1857. RNAcentral's name for it is "tRNA-Asp". It matches the Rfam family "tRNA". From Rfam's summary of the family: Transfer RNA (tRNA) molecules are approximately 80 nucleotides in length. Their secondary structure includes four short double-helical elements and three loops (D, anti-codon, and T loops). Lineage: Eukaryota; Fungi; Ascomycota; Sordariomycetes; Xylariales; Hypoxylaceae. The record is from RNAcentral.
UCUCGAUUCGUCUAGUGGUUAGGAUACCUGCUUGUCAUCUCACAAUGUGUUGAUCGAGUUCGCAGGUGGCCGGGGUUCAAUUCCCCGAUCGAGAG